UUGUGGGGUGAUGGCGUGCCUUUUGAAGAAUGAGCCUGCGAGUCAGCGGCAUGUCGCGAGGUUAACCCGUGUGGGGUAGUCGUAGCGAAAGCGAAUCCUAAUGAGGGUGUUGUCAGUGGCAUGUUCUGGACCCGAAGCGGGGUGAUCUACCCAUGGCCAGUGUGAAGCAGCUGUAAGAGGUUGUGGAGGCGCGAACCCACUUAGGUUGAAAACUGAGGGGAUGAGCUGUGGGUAGGGGUGAAAGGCCAAUCAAACUCCGUGAUAGCUGGUUCUCCCCGAAAUGCAUUUAGGUGCAGCGUUGUGUGUUUCUUGCUGGAGGUAGAGCUACUGGUUGGUUGAGCGGGACUACAAUCUUAGCAAUGUCAGCCAAACUCCGAAUGCCGGUAAUGUUAAGCAUGGCAGUGAGACUGCGGGGGAUAAGCUCCGUUGGUCGAGAGGGAAACAGCCCAGAUCGCCGGUUAAGGCCCCUAAGGGUGUACUAAGUGGAAAAGGAUGUGGGAUCGCGAAGACAGCCAGGAGGUUGGCUUAGAAGCAGCCAUCCUUGAAAGAGUGCGUAAUAGCUCACUGGUCGAGUGGUUCUGCGCCGACAAUGUAGUGGGGCUCAAGUACACCGCCGAAGCCGCGGCAGUCAGCAUUUUUUGUUGGUUGGGUAGGGGAGCGUCGUGCACUGCUGUGAAGCACCUGGGUGACUUGAUGGUGUGGAGUGUGUGCGAGUGAGAAUGCAGGCAUGAGUAACGAAUGAAAAGUGGAAAACUUUUCCGCCGGAUGACUAAGGGUUCCUGGGUUAAGCUAAUCUUCCCAGGGUGAGUCGGGACCUAAGGCGAGGCCGACAGGCGUAGUCGAUGGAUAACCAGUUGAUAUUCUGGUACCCGUGUAUGUGCGCCCAGUGGUGAAUCAGUGGUACUAACCAUCCAUGGAUCUUCUGGUCAUGCUUUUUGUGUGGUUGGUGGUGAUGUGCGUGGGAUCUUCGUUGGUAGUAGCCAAGUGAUGGGGUGACGCAGUGAGGUAGCUGAGCCAUGUAGUGGAUUGUGGUGUAAGCGUGUGGCCCGUGGCAUAGGUAAAUCCGUGUCGCAUAGUGGGUGAGGCGUGAUGCGUAGACCUUUGUGGUUGAUGUUGGUGAUCCUGUACUGUCGAGAAAAGCCUCUAGCGAGUGCAUAUAUGGCCCGUACCCAUAACCGACACAGGUGGUCAGGUAGAGAAUACUAAGGCGAUCGGGUGAACUGUGGUUAAGGAACUCGGCAAAUUGCCCCCGUAACUUCGGGAGAAGGGGGACCAUUGCUGGUGACCGACGUGGUUGAGCUGGUGGUGGUCGCAGAGAAUAGAGGGAAGCGACUGUUUAUUAAAAACACAGGUCCGUGCGAAAACGUGGAAGUUGAUGUAUACGGACUGACGCCUGCCCGGUGCUGGAAGGUUAAGAGGACCUGUUAGGGCAUUGUUGUCCGAAGCGGAGAAUUUAAGCCCCAGUAAACGGCGGUGGUAACUAUAACCAUCCUAAGGUAGCGAAAUUCCUUGUCGGGUAAGUUCCGACCUGCACGAAUGGCGUAACGACUUCCCUGCUGUCUCAACCACAGGCCCGGUGAAAUUGCAGUACGAGUAAAGAUGCUCGUUACGCGCGGCAGGACGAAAAGACCCCGGGACCUUCACUAUAGCUUGGUAUUGGUGUUUGGUUCGGUUUGUGUAGGAUAGGUGGGAGACUGUGAAGUGGUCACGCUAGUGGUUGUGGAGUCGAAAGUUGAAAUACCACUCUGAUCGGAUUGAGCACCUUAACCUUGGCCCAUGAUCUGGGUUGGGGACAGUGCCUGGUGGGUAGUUUAACUGGGGCGGUUGCCUCCUAAAAUGUAACGGAGGCGCCCAAAGGUUCCCUCAGCCUGGUUGGCAAUCAGGUGGUGAGUGUAAGUGCACAAGGGAGCUUGACUGUGAGACUGACAGGUCGAGCAGGGACGAAAGUCGGGACUAGUGAUCCGGCAUCUACUUGUGGAAGUGGUGUCGCUCAACGGAUAAAAGGUACCCCGGGGAUAACAGGCUGAUCUUCCCCAAGAGUCCAUAUCGACGGGAUGGUUUGGCACCUCGAUGUCGGCUCGUCGCAUCCUGGGGCUGGAGUAGGUCCCAAGGGUUGGGCUGUUCGCCCAUUAAAGCGGCACGCGAGCUGGGUUUAGAACGUCGUGAGACAGUUCGGUCUCUAUCCGCCGCGCGCGUUGAAACUUGAAGAAGGCUGUCCCUAGUACGAGAGGACCGGGACGGACGUACCUCUAGUGUGCCAGUUGUCACGCCAGUGGCAGGGCUGGUUGGCUACGUACGGGAGGGAUAACCGCUGAAAGCAUCUAAGCGGGAAGCCUGUUUUGAGAUGAGGUUUCUUUUGAGGUUCCCUCUAGACUAGGGGGUUGAUAGGCCAGAUCUGGAAGCGUAGUAAUGCGUUAAGGUGACUGGUACUAAUAUGACCGAGUAAUAACAUUGU
Molecule: ribosomal RNA, 2455 nt
Filed under: Corynebacterium belfantii
Lineage: Bacteria; Bacillati; Actinomycetota; Actinomycetes; Mycobacteriales; Corynebacteriaceae
Description: partial 23S ribosomal RNA
Rfam family: Bacterial large subunit ribosomal RNA
Source: RNAcentral